This 200-nucleotide ribosomal RNA is filed under the name uncultured bacterium. Its description in RNAcentral is "partial 16S ribosomal RNA". It matches the Rfam family "Bacterial small subunit ribosomal RNA", at positions 524 to 718 of the family's 1533-position model. The record is from RNAcentral.
UACGUAGGGGGCAAGCGUUGUCCGGAUUUAUUGGGCGUAAAGAGCGUGUAGGCGGCCUGAAAGGUCAGCUGUGAAAACUCGAGGCUCAACCUCGAGACGUCGGUUGAAACCAUCUGGCUAGAGUCCGGAAGAGGCGAGUGGAAUUCCCGUGGUGUGACGGUGAAAUGCGCAGAUAUCGAGGAGAACCAGCCGAGUGGCGA